GUGCUCACUUCAGCAGCAUAUAUCCUAAAAUUGGAAAGAUAGAGAUUAGCAUGGCCCCUGCACAAGGAUGACAUGCAAAUUCGUGAAGGAUUCCAUUUUUAA
This is a small nuclear RNA of Jaculus jaculus (lesser Egyptian jerboa), 102 nucleotides long. NCBI's taxonomy places the organism in Eukaryota, Metazoa, Chordata, Mammalia, Rodentia, Dipodidae. The record is from RefSeq and is a predicted model, not a curated record.